CCUAGCCUUGGAGUGGGGAAUAACAGCUGGAAACAGCUGCUAAUAGCGCAUAAUAUAUCUGGGUCGCAUGGCUCUGGAUAUCAAAGAUUUAUCGCUCUGAGAUGGACUCGCGUCUGAUUAGCUAGUUGGUGGGGCAACGGCCCACCAAGGCGACGAUCAGUAGCCGGACUGAGAGGUUGGCCGGCCACAUUGGGACUGAGACACGGCCCAAACUCCUACGGGAGGCAGCAG
This 231-nucleotide ribosomal RNA is filed under the name uncultured bacterium. RNAcentral describes it as "partial 16S ribosomal RNA". It matches the Rfam family "Bacterial small subunit ribosomal RNA", at positions 124 to 354 of the family's 1533-position model. The record is from RNAcentral.